GUUAAUAUUUCCCCCCGACAGACUCCAUUUGCUGGAAGAUCAUUGAAGAACUUUUUCUUGAGUCUGUACCUCCACUGCCUCUGUUGCGAGUUGAGCAUGUUAGUGCAUGCCUCUAUGAUAGGUUGACUGGUGGUGUCAAUGUCAAAGUAGACCUAUAUUAAGCACAACAUAUGAGUAGUCAGAAAAAUGGAUGAAAAGAAAGGAUGCAAAGAACUAUGCUAGUAGUUGAGUCGAUA
RNAcentral lists this long non-coding RNA (236 nucleotides) under Setaria italica (foxtail millet). RNAcentral describes it as "long non-coding RNA (SITA_LNC003707)". The record is from RNAcentral. Lineage: Eukaryota; Viridiplantae; Streptophyta; Magnoliopsida; Poales; Poaceae.